GCCCGUAUGGCCCAACCGGUAGAGGCGCUGUACUCAGAAUGCAGAAGUUGGGGGUUCAAAUCCCUCUACGGGCA
This 74-nucleotide transfer RNA is filed under the name Kineosporia babensis. It matches the Rfam family "tRNA". Rfam says of the family: Transfer RNA (tRNA) molecules are approximately 80 nucleotides in length. The record is from Rfam by way of RNAcentral. Lineage: Bacteria; Bacillati; Actinomycetota; Actinomycetes; Kineosporiales; Kineosporiaceae.